Molecule: long non-coding RNA, 197 nt
Filed under: Chrysolophus pictus (golden pheasant)
Lineage: Eukaryota; Metazoa; Chordata; Aves; Galliformes; Phasianidae
Description: lncRNA (ENSCPIG00010012069.1)
Source: RNAcentral
ACAUGAAGUAUUGUUGAAAAACAUCCCUGGGUGAGACAGGCUCCUUUCUAAUGCUGCCUUGCAGGAGGGUGCUGACAGAAUGGUUGUUGCCUGGUACUUCUGAAGGAAUUAACAUCCGAUUGAACUCCACGUACGCAGAGAGGACAAGGCACCCAUCAAAUCAUGGUGUUGCAUCUCAAUCCUGUGACCAUUCAUAG